UUUUGGCCUCUUUUCACUCCUUUGCCAUAUUUUUUUCCCAGAUUUUCAGUCUCUCAUCCCCCCCAUUUUUCUAGGAUUUUUGGCCUCUCAUCCCUUUCCCUUUCCCAGAUUUUUCCCAGGAUUUUUGGCCUCCAAUCCCUGCUUUUAUCCUGAUUUUCCCCGGCAUUUCCAACCUCUUCUUCCUCCCUUUCCAUAUUUUUUUCCUAGGAUUUCCAGAUUCUCAUCCCUUCCCAUUUUUCCCAGGAUUUUUGGCCUCUUAUCCCUGUUUUUAUCCUGAUUUUUCCCAGCAUUUCCAACCCCUUUUCCCUCCCUUCCCAUAUUUUUUUCCCAGGAUUUCUGGUUUCUCAUCCCAUCCCAUUUUUCCCGAAUUUCCGGCCUCUCCCCCCUUUCCAUUUUCCAUUUUUCCAGGAUUUUUGGCCUCUCAUCCCGGCCCUUUCCAUAUUUUUUUUCCCAGGAUUUCCCGUUUCUCAUCCCUCCCCAUUUUUCCCAGAUUUCUGCUCUUUCCCAUAUUUUUCCCAGCAUUUUUGGCCUCUCCUCCCUUCCCAUUUUCCCAGCAUUUCCAGUUUCUCAUCUCUGCUCUUUUCCAUAUUUUUCCCAGAAUUCCCAGCCUCUCUUCCCUCCCUUCCCAUAUUUUAUUUCCCAGAUUUCCAGUCUCUCACUCCUGCUUUUAUCCUGAUUUUUCCCAGCAUUUCCAACCUCUCAUCCCCCCCCAUUUUUCCAGGAUUUCUGGUCUCUCAUUCCUGCUCUUUUCCACAUUUUUCCCAGGAUUUCUGGUCUCUCAUCCCUUUCCCUUUUCCAGAUUUUCCCCAGGAUUUCCAACUUCUCAUCCCUUCCCAUUUUUCCCGUAUUUCCGGCCUCUCCUCCCUUUCCCUUUCCCAUUUUUCCAGGAUUUCUGGUCUCUCAUUCCUGAACUUAUCCCGAUUUCUUCCAGGAUUUUUGGCCUCUCUUCCCUCCCUUCCCAUAUUUUUUUCCCAGGAUUUCCAGAUUCUCAUCCCUUCCCAUUUUUCCCAGGAUUUUUGGCCUCCAAUCUCUGCUUUUAUCCUGAUUUUUCCCAGAAUUCCCAACCCCUUUUCCCUCCUUUUCCAUAUUUUUUCCCCCAGGAUUUCCCGUUUCUCAUCCCUCCCCAUUUUUCCCAGAUUUCUGCUCUUUUCCAUAUUUUUCCCAGGAUUUUUGGCCUCUCCUCCCUUCCCAUUUUUUCCAAGACUUUCAGCCCCUUCUUUUCCCUUUCCCAUUUUUCCAGGAUUUCUGGUCUCUCAUCCCUUUCCCUUUUCCAGAUUUUUCCCAGGAUUUUUGGCCUCUUUUCUCUCCUUUUCCAGAUUUUUUCCCAGGAUUUUUGGCUUCUCAUCCUGCUUUUAUCCUGAUUUUUCCCAGAUUUCCAACCUCUCAUCCCCCCCAUUUUUCCAGGAUUUCUGGUCUCUCAUUCCUGCUCUUUUCCAGAUUUUCCCCAGGAUUUCCAGCUUCUCAUCCCUUCCUAUUUUUCCUGAAUUUCCCCCUUUCCAUUUUCCAUUUUUCCAGGAUUUUUGGUCUCUCAUCCUGGCCCUUUCCAUAUUUUUUUUCCCAGGAUUUCCAGUUUCUCAUCUCUGCUCUUUUCCAUAUUUUUCCCAGAAUUCCCAGCCUCUCUUCCCUCCCUUCCCAUAUUUUUUUCCCAGAUUUCCAGUCUCUCAUUCCUGCUUUUAUCCCGAUUUUUCCCAGAUUUCCAACCUCUCAUCCCCCCCAUUUUUCCCGAAUUUCCAGCCUUUCUUCCCUUUCCCUUUCCCAUUUUUCCAGCAUUUCCAGCCUCCCAUUCCCACCCCCAUUCCCGAUUUUCCCAGAUUUUCCCCCAUCCCGAGCAUUCCAUAAAUCCCAACAAAAAAUCCCGGAAUUUUUUCCCAUCCCAGGCUCCAAUUCCAGCUUUUCUGACCUUUCCAAGAAUUCCCAAGGGGACAAAGGAG
RNAcentral lists this long non-coding RNA (1931 nucleotides) under Parus major (Great Tit). RNAcentral's name for it is "lncRNA (ENSPMJG00000003768.1)". The record is from RNAcentral. Lineage: Eukaryota; Metazoa; Chordata; Aves; Passeriformes; Paridae.